AGAACGAACGCUGGCGGCAGGCUUAACACAUGCAAGUCGAACGGUUGUAGCAAUACAGCAGUGGCAGACGGGUGAGUAACACGUGGGAACCUUCCUAGGGGUACGGAACAACUCAGGGAAACUUGAGCUAAUACCGUAUACGUCCGUGAGGAGAAAGAUUUAUCGCCCCUAGACGGGCCCGCGUAGGAUUAGGUAGUUGGUGAGGUAACGGCUCACCAAGCCUACGAUCCUUAGCUGAUCUGAGAGGAUGAUCAGCCACACUGGGACUGAGACACGGCCCAGACUCCUACGGGGAGCAGCGAGGUAGGGGAUCGUUAGG
RNAcentral lists this ribosomal RNA (319 nucleotides) under uncultured soil bacterium. RNAcentral's name for it is "bacterial SSU rRNA". It matches the Rfam family "Bacterial small subunit ribosomal RNA", at positions 26 to 369 of the family's 1533-position model. The record is from RNAcentral.